GUUGCACGAUUAAAUAUUUUUUCCAUUAGAUAGUGUUCUAUUUAAGGGGUUUCCUUACUGUAAUGAACGCUGCUUAUUAUCAUGGAUGCAGGUUUUCCGAAAUGAUCUGAACAAGGGAUGUGUCCUUUUUGAUCUGGUUUAGUUGGCCUUCGUUACUUUCAACUUUUAUUUGUUGCAUUUAUGUCCACCAGUUGGUUAUGUUUGUUUGUUUUUAUUUUUUGUGUGCAAGGGAAAGCUUCUGGAUAUGAUAUUUGAAAGAGAGAUGUGUGUGUUUUGCUACCAUGCUAUGAUAUUUGGUUUGAGAUAUACGCUAACGGUAUCUGCAUCAAUGCUGUGUCUUUUGGAUACUCUAGUUGGAUUUAGACGGGUAUCAGGGAAGAGUUCCAUCAACUUCUCAUAUUUUGAGGUUGCCUGUUAAAUUGUUGAUUAUUUUUCCUGUCCUCCUUUUGUCAGCAUUUUAUAUAUAUUGAAGUUAAGUUCUCUUUGUUUUCUGAAUGUUCUAUUCCUAGGGUUUUUGUGGGCAGUUUCCGAAGCAUCAUCGUUAGGCAUGAUUCUAUUAAAUAGAGAUGGUAACUCACCUUUGUUGGAUUGUUUUUGGUAUCAGACCUAGGAUUUUACAUUUUUGAUAAGGCUAGUUUCUGUGGCAGAUUCUAUAUGUGUCAUCGACGCUGUUGGUGGGGCUCUGGUGUUUUUGUGAUUAUUAUCUGUAUGGAGCCACACGUAGCUGUGAUGCAGUUUGUAAAGGAUGCUCCAAUUAAGGAUGCUCUGGUUUUUGUUGAAUGAUUUAAAUAGGUUUUCCAUUAGAUAGUGUUAUAUUUAAGGGGUUUCAUUGUUGUGACAUACGUUGCUUAUUAUGAUGGAUCCAGG
RNAcentral lists this long non-coding RNA (867 nucleotides) under Musa acuminata (dwarf banana). RNAcentral's name for it is "long non-coding RNA (MACU_LNC009371)". The record is from RNAcentral. Lineage: Eukaryota; Viridiplantae; Streptophyta; Magnoliopsida; Zingiberales; Musaceae.